CUGAGAACAUGCCCUUUAGGGUAUCCUCCCACCCUUUGUUUACAAAUACCUUUGUUGCUUUGGCGGGCCCGUCGUAUGACCACUGGCUUUAGCUGGUCUGUGCCUGCCAGAGGACCCAAAACUCUUGUAUUAUGAUGUCUGAGUACCAUAUAAUAUUUA
RNAcentral lists this unclassified non-coding RNA (159 nucleotides) under uncultured Leotiomycetes. Its description in RNAcentral is "sequence contains ITS1". The record is from RNAcentral. Lineage: Eukaryota; Fungi; Ascomycota; Leotiomycetes.